GGCUUGGGGGGCUCUUCUCCGGCUUCCAGUCCAGAGGGCCCCAAGACAACCCCCUCACCCAGAACAGGAUUGCCAGUUCUACAUGCAGAAUUGCGAUUCACGAUGGAACCGUCCGGUUCAGGAGCAGCAGAACCGGGCGAGGACGGCCGCGACCAAGAACCGGCCCAUGAGCGCUCCUACGCCCCCUCCAAUGGAGCCGGACCCGCGGUGGCGGAGACGAGGGAGGCGCCCAACUCAUCUGGACUGGAGUGCGUUCCUGAGCGUUUCUUGGUUUCCUCUUGCGCAGUUCAACUCGUUGCGCGCGGGA
This is a long non-coding RNA of Hordeum vulgare subsp. vulgare (domesticated barley), 307 nucleotides long. RefSeq lists it as uncharacterized. The transcript is spliced from 3 exons. The record is from RefSeq and is a predicted model, not a curated record. NCBI's taxonomy places the organism in Eukaryota, Viridiplantae, Streptophyta, Magnoliopsida, Poales, Poaceae.